ACGCAUUGAUUCAGCUUCUGUCUCAAGGAACGCAUUGAUUCUUUCUUUCUCUAUUAAAAAGAUUUCCUUCCUUUUUUUUCUUUAUAUAUUACAUUUCUUUUUCUCUGUACUUUUGAGAGAAAGAAGCCAUUCAUUUUCUCACCCAAGUUUGUUUUUCUAAGGGUGUGAUCAUCAUUGGAUACAACAGGGACUUUGCGGAAGAAGAAGAGAAAAAAGAGAGAUUUAAAAGUUUGAGUUUUUGUUUUUGGAUAGAAAUAUUGAAAUGGGAUCAUCUUCAGGACAAAGUAGUGAAAGCUAUGAUCAUUCAUUUAAGAUCGUGUUGAUCGGAGACCUGGCUGUCGGCAAGAGUAGUUUGGCCGCUAGCUUCAUUUCAGAUUCUGCAGCAGAUCUAGAUAAAACCAUUGGUGUGGAUCUUAACAUCAAGUUGUUAACUGUUGGUGGGAAGAGAUUAAAGCUUACUAUUUGGGAUACUGCUGGACAGGAAAGGUACAGAACAUUAACAAGCUCUUACUAUAGAGGUGCCCAUGGGAUCAUACUUGUUUAUGACGUAACAGAGAGAGAAACCUUCACGAGUUUGUCUGAUGUUUGGGCCAAAGAAGUGGAGCUCUAUUCUACCAAUAAGGACUGUGUCAAGAUGCUUGUUGGAAAUAAAGUUGAUAGAGAUCCUGAAAAGGCUGUAAGUAGAGAAGAAGGGACUGCACUUGCAAAAGAGCUUGGAUAUAUGUUUUUUGAAUGCAGUACUAAAACAAGAGAAAACGUGGAGAAAUGCUUUGAGGAGCUUGCAUUGAAGAUGAUGGAAGCUCCUAGUCUUUCGCAAGAAGGGUCUGCUGAAGGAAAGCAAAACAUCAUAGAGCCGAAACCAGCGUACACGUCUCCUCCAAAAGGAGAUUGUUGUAGUUGCCAGUAAAUUGCAGCAAUAUGAAGGCCUCAACAUGAAGGGAUGACUUACAUGUAUCAAUUGAACGCUUCAAUUGAUAAUUUCCACCUUAGCAGAUUGUGAACAAAUCAUGUAUAUGAUAAUUUCUUUUGAUAUUCUAUACUGCUGUUCUUCCCAGUGGAGUUGCCAUGGCUAAUGGUAAUCUCAAAGGUUAUUUGGAUGAAAGAUUAAAAGGCAACCUUAGGCAAGCUGGAGAUGACAUAUACGCAAUGACAGUACAAUACAAUCAAUCUGGUCUGAGGCUGAGCAAAAUAAAGGUCAAAGUACUGGAACUUAUUUUCUUUUGAAGGAAAUGGAAGAAUAAUUCAGCAUAGCUGACAACAACCAUAUAUGAUGAACAUUUCUAUCUCUGCAAAUCUUUGCCUUGUAUCUCUUGCAAUAGAAUUAGAAAUGAAAACCUGCUCCACGUUGAAAUAUGUUUGGACACUCCGUUGAAAAGGGUUUCAACUUUCAACAAUUUCAGCAUGCUCAAAGAUAUGUAAGUCAUGGGUGUAUGUCAUUCACCAGCCAAUUCUUGCCCCAUUUGAUGUUGGAAGUCGGAACAGCCUUCAAACAAAGAUCAAACACCAGUGAUAAAUGAUAAUUACAUCAUGGAAAUUUGUACAUUAGUUUUUAAUGUUACCCUUUCAGUCUCAUCCAUGUCA
Non-coding RNA from Durio zibethinus, 1581 nucleotides. Lineage: Eukaryota; Viridiplantae; Streptophyta; Magnoliopsida; Malvales; Malvaceae. The record is from RefSeq and is a predicted model, not a curated record.